This 387-nucleotide ribosomal RNA is filed under the name Triticum aestivum (bread wheat). RNAcentral's name for it is "partial small subunit ribosomal RNA". The record is from RNAcentral. Lineage: Eukaryota; Viridiplantae; Streptophyta; Magnoliopsida; Poales; Poaceae.
AUGUUAUGUAUUGCUGGUGACAUUUUAUGUAUUGCUUUGGUUUGUCCACAGUCAACCAAAUUAUGGAGUUUCAGUCAUAUAUGUUGUCUGUUAUUUCAUACUCGCCGGUCUCCGACCGCCGGCGUCGGCAGCACCGCCGCCUCCUCCAACACUCUUUGUCGGCCGCCCGCGUGCCGGUGCGAGGAAGCCAUGGAGCUGAGGGAGCAGGCGCAAAAUCUAUGUAUCAGUAUGCUUUAUAAAAUUAUUCGAGUAUUGCAAAAUUGCAUGAUACAUCAAAUUGGAGCGUAUUCUAUUUUUUAUGGACUGCGGACUUAUGUUGCUUAUUUAGAGGCUGCCGUACAUGGAUCAGGGUCUGAAAAUCAUGGUGUAAGUGUUUCAGCCUAUUAA